UGAACCCACUUCAUCUUCUGUAACCUGCCAUGCAAAAAUAAGUCGUGAGAUGCAAACAGUGUUUAACUUGCAUAGCCAUCGCCAAUGGUGCAUAGUCCACAAAAGGUGAAGUCCGCCAAUUGGCUAAUUGCAGUUAUACAGAUACUUGCAUUUGCAUGUUUUAGUUCGUUGGUCUAGUCGAAACACAAUCUACAUAAAUAAAACAAAAUUAAGUAUAGAGAUUUGCCAAUAGAUGGACACAAGUGAACCAGGAUGAGACAAUAAGUGGUUAUAGGUAGAUAGCAAAAACUUUAAUAUCUUUGCUAUAUAUUACGAUAGCGCACUCAUUGAAAAAGAAUUAACAAUGCGCAAAAAAUGCCAUUACAUAUUUAAAAUACACAGCAUCAGGGCACACCAGAUAAUCUAACAAGAAACAACACAAACCUAUAUAAUCUAGAGCCAAGAGCAAAUUCUAUAAUAGUGAUAAAUUCUAUGG
This 475-nucleotide unclassified non-coding RNA is filed under the name Hevea brasiliensis (rubber tree). Lineage: Eukaryota; Viridiplantae; Streptophyta; Magnoliopsida; Malpighiales; Euphorbiaceae. The record is from RNAcentral.